RNAcentral lists this ribosomal RNA (301 nucleotides) under uncultured bacterium. Its description in RNAcentral is "partial 16S ribosomal RNA". It matches the Rfam family "Bacterial small subunit ribosomal RNA", at positions 509 to 807 of the family's 1533-position model. The record is from RNAcentral.
CAGUCGCCACGGUAAUACGUAGGUGGCAAGCGUUGUCCGGAAUUAUUGGGCGUAAAGGGCUCGCAGGCGGUUUCUUAAGUCUGAUGUGAAAGCCCCCGGCUCAACCGGGGAGGGUCAUUGGAAACUGGGAAACUUGAGUGCAGAAGAGGAGAGUGGAAUUCCACGUGUAGCGGUGGAAUGCGUAGAGAUGUGGAGGAACACCAGUGGCGAAGGCGACUCUCUGGUCUGUAACUGACGCUGAGGAGCGAAAGCGUGGGGAGCGAACAGGAUUAGAUACCCGCGUAGUCCCUGUCUCUUAUAC